This 45-nucleotide transfer RNA is filed under the name uncultured Bartonella sp. RNAcentral describes it as "partial tRNA-Ile". Lineage: Bacteria; Pseudomonadati; Pseudomonadota; Alphaproteobacteria; Hyphomicrobiales; Bartonellaceae. The record is from RNAcentral.
UUGAUAAGCGUGAGGUCGGAGGUUCAAGUCCUCCCAGGCCCACCA